This 73-nucleotide transfer RNA is filed under the name Causus defilippii (snouted night adder). RNAcentral's name for it is "tRNA-Leu". It matches the Rfam family "tRNA". From Rfam's summary of the family: Transfer RNA (tRNA) molecules are approximately 80 nucleotides in length. The record is from RNAcentral. Lineage: Eukaryota; Metazoa; Chordata; Lepidosauria; Squamata; Viperidae.
AUUAAGGUAGCAAAGCCCGGCCAUGCACGAGGCUUAAAACCUCCAAACAGAUGUUCAAAUCAUCUCCUUAAUA